This 403-nucleotide ribosomal RNA is filed under the name Fusobacteriota bacterium. RNAcentral's name for it is "Fusobacteria bacterium partial 16S ribosomal RNA". It matches the Rfam family "Bacterial small subunit ribosomal RNA", at positions 355 to 776 of the family's 1533-position model. Lineage: Bacteria; Fusobacteriati; Fusobacteriota. The record is from RNAcentral.
UGGGGAAUAUUGCACAAUGGGGGAAACCCUGAUGCAGCGACGCCGCGUGAGCGAAGAAGGUUUUCGAAUCGUAAAGCUCUGUCCUAUGGGAAGAUAAUGGCGGUACCAUAGGAGGAAGCCCCGGCUAACUACGUGCCAGCAGCCGCGGUAAUACGUAGGGGGCAAGCGUUGUCCGGAAUCACUGGGCGUAAAGGGUUCGCAGGCGGAAUUGCAAGUCAGUUGUGAAAGGCAGAGGCUCAACCUCUGUAAGCAAUUGAAACUGUAUUUCUUGAGAUGUGGAGAGGCAAGUGGAAUUCCUAGUGUAGCGGUGAAAUGCGUAGAUAUUAGGAAGAAUACCGGUGGCGAAGGCGACUUGCUGGACACAAACUGACGCUGAGGAACGAAAGCGUGGGUAGCAAACAGG